CCUCAGAGCUGAGGUGUCGGCACAGCCAUUUCACACCAGGGAGUCUCGUCUGAAGGACCAAGUGCGAGGCUUCUGCAGGAGGUGCCCUGUGAACAAGUGAAAAAAGACUCAGCACAAAGGGAGAGAUAAAAGGUGCUGUGAUAGUUCCAGGGCUGACCAUAGAAAGCCAAACAGUGAUACCGAAGAGGCGGGUCUGGCUUCUCGCUGCUCAAAAGCCAGUAAAGAGGCCAGGAAGCCAAAGACCCUGACUUGGAAGCUGGUCCCUGGUACUCCCACAUCUCCCAGGAUGAGAUAUUUCCUUCUCCUGCACCACUUGUAACAUGGAGAAUGAAAAAUAGGGACAACCUGAUUAUAAAGCAGAUGAUCUAGAUUUAGGAAGAGUUCUUAUUUAUCUUCCUGGUGUUGUUUCUUAAACUUUGGCAAAGUCUGGUUUCCACUUUUCUGGGCAAAUGUUUUUUAAAAUGUAUUCUGUUUUUAAAAUCAACUCUGCUGUGGGAUUUUAAAAGAAGGAUGUAACUGAGUUCUCAUCUGCUCCCCAGAUGGAUGGCACACGCUUCAUCGCCUUCUAUGGCAUUCUCUCAUCCUGGCUCACAGACUCUGUAAGCCUGCUGCCUCCCCCUUUCUGAAUUUUCCAGACCCAAAGUGGGAAAUCAGGUUUUUCUAUUUUACUUGUAACACAAAAUGAUGGUAUGGGAGUC
This is a long non-coding RNA of Bubalus bubalis (water buffalo), 698 nucleotides long. RefSeq lists it as uncharacterized. NCBI's taxonomy places the organism in Eukaryota, Metazoa, Chordata, Mammalia, Artiodactyla, Bovidae. The transcript has 3 exons. The record is from RefSeq and is a predicted model, not a curated record.